CCUACGGGGGGCUGCAGUGAGGAAUAUUGGUCAAUGGACGAGAGUCUGAAUCAGCCAAGUAGCGUGAGGGAUGACUGCCCUACGGGUUGUAAACUGCUUUUAUAUGGGAAUAAAAUGUUCCACGUGUGGGAGUUUGUAUGUACCAUAUGAAUAAGGAUCGGCUAACUCCGUGCCAGCAGCCGCGGUAAUACGGAGGGUCCGAGCGUUAUCCGGAUUUAUUGGGUUUAAAGGGAGCGUAGGUGGAUUGUUAAGUCAGUUGUGAAAGUUUGCGGCUCAACCGUAAAAUCGCAGUUGAAACUGGCAGUCUUGAGUACAGUAGAGGUGGGCGGAAUUCGUGGUGUAGCGGUGAAAUGCUUAGAUAUCACGAAGAACUCCGAUUGCGAAGGCAGCUCACCGGACUGCAACUGACACUGAGGCUCGAAAGUGCGGGUAUCAAACAGGAUUAGAUACCCUGGUAGUC
This 460-nucleotide ribosomal RNA is filed under the name uncultured bacterium. RNAcentral describes it as "partial 16S ribosomal RNA". It matches the Rfam family "Bacterial small subunit ribosomal RNA", at positions 338 to 795 of the family's 1533-position model. The record is from RNAcentral.